This 496-nucleotide long non-coding RNA is filed under the name Fukomys damarensis (Damara mole-rat). Its description in RNAcentral is "lncRNA (ENSFDAG00000032962.1)". Lineage: Eukaryota; Metazoa; Chordata; Mammalia; Rodentia; Bathyergidae. The record is from RNAcentral.
AUUGGGUCUUGAGCGAGGUCACCCGUUGGCACAACUCUAGUGUGACCACACAGAGAUCUCUGGUAUGUUGCCGCUGUCUGGAGGACCCCAUGGCCCUGCAGUUUGGGAAGGAGGGGCUUGUUCUCACUGGUAGAGGUCAUCCCAGAUGGCUGUGUGCUGUCACUGCGGAUGCUCUAAAGAAGUUACAGGGAAGCUCUGCUCUUCUGUGACAGGGCAGCCGUUACCCUACGUGUGGAGAUCACAGAGUGUUCAGAGGGAGCCUGGAUCCUGCAAUCUAGAAAUACGGAGAUCCAGCUCCUCAGUCCUGCUCCAUCCUCCCGCUGCGUGACAGCACAGCCCAAAAGAACUGCAUUUCUGUGGGAGCUAUGGCCUGUGGCUCUGCCCUCCAGUCUUCUCUGGGGAGCUGCUGUCUCUCCAGGACCACAGGGGCUCAGCAGCAUCCAAAAAGAAGGAGAGUGUUCACCCCAGUACCCCAGAAAGCCAAGACAAAACCAGA